This is a long non-coding RNA of Austrofundulus limnaeus, 793 nucleotides long. RefSeq lists it as uncharacterized. The transcript is spliced from 2 exons. The record is from RefSeq and is a predicted model, not a curated record. NCBI's taxonomy places the organism in Eukaryota, Metazoa, Chordata, Actinopteri, Cyprinodontiformes, Rivulidae.
GUCUGAAGACCUGUAAAGACCCAGCUGAGGACAGGUGUCUCAUGAUCAGAGGGACGUCUGAAGACCUGUAAAGACCCAGCUGAGGACAGGUGUUAAAGCAUCAUUAGUUUUAGGUGACUGGUUAAAACUCAGGGUUUUUUUUUUUUUUUGGUAAAUUAGAAAAAUGACAUUUUCUGUGACAAAAUGUGAAAGAUGAAGUGAUGAAAGCAGCUGAAACCUGCAGAGGCUGAAACAGAAAUGUCUCCUAAUCCUAAUAAACCUAAAAACCUGUUGGACUGACCCAGGUUCUGACCUAGGUUCUGACCCGGGUUGUGGCUGUGACCCAGAGGGACCAUGUAGAACAAUCUAAUGGCUGGAUGUUAAUCAGAGUCUGGAAGGACACAAACAGAUGGUUUUUUUAUAAAAACAACUUUAUUUACAGGAGCAGACCACCGGGCCGGCCCACAAACCCAGACUCCAGUGCUCCCAGUGGAAUGCUGUCUGUGGCUGAGGUUGGGAACUUUCUGAAUUCUUCCAGCUGUUUGUUUAGUCUGAGUGUGCAGCUGUUUAAUGACAGGCUGCUGUGAGCUCACACAGGUGGAGGUGACCUGACAGUCCAAUUAAUACCAAAUAAUCACAACAAACAGUCUAAUUAACAUGAAACAACCUGCUGCUCCAUCAACUCCACUUCCUGUCACACCACACCUGAACCAGAGUCCAGGUGAGCAGAACCGGGACGCUCAGAGACAAACAGGAGCUGGUGGUGCGUUCAGGGAGCGUGGGAGUUCUGGUCACAGCUGGAGCUGCUGACUAA